This 643-nucleotide ribosomal RNA is filed under the name uncultured marine eukaryote. RNAcentral describes it as "SSU rRNA". It matches the Rfam family "Eukaryotic small subunit ribosomal RNA", at positions 615 to 1259 of the family's 1831-position model. The record is from RNAcentral.
UUGGUUAAAAAGCUCGUAGUUGGAUCUCAACAGCCUUGAAGCGGUUAACUUUGUAGUUUUACUGCUUUAUAGGCUGUGCUUUUGCUGGAGGUUUAGGGGUGCUCUUGAUCGAGUGUCUCUGGAUGCCAGCAGGUUUACUUUGAAAAAAUUAGAGUGCUCAAAGCAGGCUAAAAUGCCUGAAUAUUCGUGCAUGGAAUAAUAGAAUAGGAUGUCGAUCCUAUUUUGUUGGUUUUCGGGACUCGACAUAAUGAUAAAUAGGGACAGUCGGGGGCAUUUGUAUUCAAACGACAGAGGUGAAAUUCUUGGACCGUUUGAAGACAAACUACUGCGAAAGCAUUUGCCAAGAAUGUUUUCAUUAAUCAAGAACGAAAGUUAGAGGUUCGAAGGCGAUUAGAUACCGCCCUAGUUCUAACCAUAAACGAUGCCAGCUAGCGAUCUGCCUGCGUUUUUACUGUAGACUGGGCAGGAAGCUUCCGGGAAACCAAAGCAUUUGGGUUCCAGGGGAAGUAUGGUUGCAAAGCUGAAACUUAAAGGAAUUGACGGAAGGGCACCACCAGGAGUGGAGCCUGUGGCUUAAUUUGACUCAACACGGGAAAUCUCACCAGGCCCGGACACUGGAAGGAUUGACAGAUUGAUAGCUCUU